UGCGUAGGCGGCUUUUUAAGUCGGAUGUGAAAUCCCCGAGCUUAACUUGGGAAUUGCAUUCGAUACUGGGAAGCUAGAGUAUGGGAGAGGAUGGUAGAAUUCCAGGUGUAGCGGUGAAAUGCGUAGAGAUCUGGAGGAAUACCGAUGGCGAAGGCAGCCAUCUGGCCUAAUACUGACGCUGAGGUACGAAAGCAUGGGGAGCAAACAGGAUUAGAUACCCUGGUAGUCC
This 229-nucleotide ribosomal RNA is filed under the name uncultured bacterium. RNAcentral's name for it is "partial 16S ribosomal RNA". It matches the Rfam family "Bacterial small subunit ribosomal RNA", at positions 568 to 796 of the family's 1533-position model. The record is from RNAcentral.